CGAACAACAACGAAAUGAAGAUUGAAAAAGAGAGAGAGAGAGAUUUUUUAAAAAGGAAUUUUCACGAAGGUAAAAAGCUAAUAAAACUGACAAAGAUUAUUCCUGGCAUAAGAAGAAGAA
Molecule: long non-coding RNA, 120 nt
Filed under: Polistes fuscatus (common paper wasp)
Lineage: Eukaryota; Metazoa; Arthropoda; Insecta; Hymenoptera; Vespidae
Description: uncharacterized LOC122515040
Source: RNAcentral